RNAcentral lists this non-coding RNA (99 nucleotides) under synthetic construct. The record is from RNAcentral.
ACUUGAAGAUUCUUUAGUGUGUUUUAGAGCUAGAAAUAGCAAGUUAAAAUAAGGCUAGUCCGUUAUCAACUUGAAAAAGUGGCACCGAGUCGGUGGUGC